CGGAGAGAAGGUACCCACUGUGGGAGAAGUGGGGGCCGUUAGAUAUCCAGUCAAAGGUCAGUUCCGAUCCGUACCGUGUCAGUAACAACACGGAGCGGUGUCGGAUGUGCGUGAAUGUGCCCAUUCGAAAACAACAGAAGAAUAUUUAAUAUCACUGACACCGAACGAAUACGUGUAAAUAGACCUUAAUCAAUUACAAAAGCGCGUAAAAACAGCAAAACUACACUUUAACAAAAGUUCCAAUUUACAUUUUCGAACGCGACCAUCUCGAACGUAAUCGACGCGAUUUUCGCGCGAAACGCGUCGCGGUUCGCGAUGCGUAUCUCGGUAUCGCGUGUUCACAGGUGUACGCCCGCAGUCGCAAUCCGCUGCUGCACAGUCCGCACCCGUACGUUCCGUGUAGUGCGUCUCAGAAAACUGUCCUUAUCGGAGCAUCGACGUAUACAACGUACACGUACACGCGUACGGUGAAAUCGAAUUUGAACAAAAUAGGAAAAACAGGGAAACGCAGUUAAAGAACGACCGAAGGCCGCGACGGUCGUGCGUUUCGUUCGAACGACAAAACGCACGGGAGCCGUCGAAUCACCCCGGCGUUAAAUGUGGCCGACGUGCGAAACGACGGUGCGGUACGUCGUUAACAAAGCUGGUGGUUGUUUUGAGCCUGGAGUGUUACCCGAUUAGAAUGGUUCCGUGUGUCGCGCGCAUCGCUGGCGACCCGUAGUGUUGUGCCAAAAUAAAAUCGGCGUCUAGCUGUUCCUAGCUGGGAACUGCCAGUGGACGGAUGCGCCUCGCCGUUCGGUCUCGUUUGGAAACGGCGGGACGAGCUAUGCGGGAUCGCGAUCACCCGCUCUUUUGUUUCGAGGACUAUGGGUGUCAUAGCAAACCGCUGACGUGCGUCCCGGUAUUUUAAAAGAUAAAAAGAAAAUCGGCCGAACGUGCCGUGAGCUGCGAGCAGUGUUUUCUUUUUUUUUUCUUUUUCCUACUUCUGGUUCGGCUCCGUGUCCGUCGCUCUCGAAUCCGCGGCCCGGUGGAUUUUCGAUCCGACCUGGCCGAAUAACACACCUGAGAACGGGGCUGCGACACGCGAUAUAUUUCUCCUACGUGCGUGUUUUCAACAACCUUAUCCGCCCUGACGUGAUUCGCCCGGUUUGCCCGCCACAGGACGGGUUAUGUUUCCCACUUUCAUCGGGAUUCUAGACAUUCAAUCGUGGUGGGAGGUGCCAAGUAUAGCACACUUCUGCUCAUUAUUUAGGGCUGCCUUCAAUCUUCUGGACUUUGAUAUUGAGGACUUAGAAGAAGCAUUAUUAACGGAUGGAGGAACGGAGGGACGUUUAGUACAGGAGCUGAUAGUCAGGUUACUCGAAGGUUGUUUACCCAACGACACUCGCAAUGACAUCUCCACUUUUAAUUAUCAGAUGUUUCUCCGUAGACUGUUUCGUAAGAAAUGUCAGGAAUACAAAUGCGAGAAUCCUUUUAAUACAGAUGUAGAUUUCGAGUUGUUACCUCUUCGGCAGAAAGUAGAAAUAUUAAGAGCUCUCUGCGACUUCAGGCUUGACGCUGAAGACGUGGAGCAAUCAUUAAGUAAUUUGGACUCGGAUAGUCUGCGAGUCGAACCUUUAGGACAUGAUCGUAAGAAUUCUGCCUAUUGGUACUUCUACGGCACUCGAUUAUAUAGGGAGGACUACGUCGAUACUUCUGACAGCAUCUCACACAAACAGAAAAGUAAACCUAGGGAUAAAAAGCGCAAAAGACGACGAAGCAGAGUGGCUAAGGAGGAAGAGGAAGAGGAGGAGAAGAAGGAAGACGGUUUAAUACAGGAGGAAGGGAAAGAAAGUGUUUGGCAAGUUGUCUGCUUCACUCAGCAGGACUGGAGUCGUUUAGUUGAGAAAUUUCGCGAUUCGGAGUACGAUACCGAACGUAAACUCUACCGUACUCUAUCCGAGGAUUUCAUGCCGGAAAUACCGAAGCUUUUUGAUUUGAAGGAGAAGCAACAACGGCGCAAGUUGUUGCAACGUAACAGUUCCCGUGUUCUUCGAAGUCACGAGCCCGCGACACAGAUGGAAACAGUCAUGGUUAGAUCGAAGAUCAAAACUAAAACAAACAAAGGGAGCAAAAAGGGGACUCAGAACUCGAAGAAUGUUUACGUUAAAGAGGAAACACCUCCGCCCUUGUCUUUGCCGCCCGUUCAAAAGAAAGGACGGCAGACUAACAAUUCGUUGGCUUCUGCCGUUGGCCAGAUCGUGAUUCACACCAGGGACGAAGUGGAAGGAUUAGAGAAAAAGAAAGGCGUCGGAAGUAACAGUGACGGGAAUUACGUUGCUUCUAAUUAUGGGUAUAAAUUCGGAUAUUCGUUUGGAAUCGAGGAAGAAGAGCGUCGCGUUGGGAUGCAUAAGGUUCUCGAAAGUCUCAAGGAUCACGUGGAUGCCUGGCCAUUCAUUGAUCCUGUGGACGAAGAAUAUGCACCAAGAUACUAUAGCGUGGUACGGAAACCUAUGGAUCUUAGUACGAUGGAGGAGAAACUCGACGGUGGUUUAUACAAGAAUUUAAAUGAUUUUAAACGUGAUUUUGCUCUUAUAGUGGAUAAUUGUAGGCAAUACAAUGGUUCCGACAAUGAGUACACAGAAAUGGCAGUGAAUCUUAAAGAUGCAUUCGACAAAGCUGUGAAUCGCUAUUUGGAAUCGGAAACAUCCAGCGACGAGGAUGCUUCGUCGCCGAAACCGUUCAUCGCCACGCCCGCGUCUCCGUCGUGUCCUUCUCGAGUUUCGUCCCCGCACCAGAAUCGUAAACGUUCGAAAAAGUCUACGAAAAAAUCGAAAUCGUACAAAUCCGAGAGCAAAGGAAAGUCCAAAGUGAACGAUAAGAACGAAGAAGAGGAGAAACGGGGGAAGAAUUACAAACUUCCGAAGAAGAAGAGGGUGAAGAAAAAGAGUAAACGAGCGAAGGACGAAGAAUCGGUGAACGAAGAAGAACAGGAAGAGCAAGAGAGCGAGGACGCCGUGUCCGAGUCGAGUAUCGUGACUUCGAAGAGAAGGAAGCAUAUCGACGCGAACAAUUUAUUGUUGAAAACCAAAAAGCUGUCAUCCAAAGAAUCGGAGGAGUUGAAGAAGAUGAACAAGAAGAUUAGUAAGGAACGUCAUCAGAAGAAGGAAGCGGAUAACGUGCGGCCGAUAAAAGAAUCAAAAGAGAACAAAAAGCGGAAAGAGGACUUCGAGGAGGAUUACGAGCCCCUAGUCAUCGCGAAAAGUAAAAGUAGGAAGAUCGAGAAGAAAGAGCUCGAGGAGACCGAGAUACUUACGAAUAACGCCAAGAAAAGUAAAGCGAAAAAGGUCGAAUCUCAGGAGGACGAGGCGGAGCCGGAUGACACGGAGAAAACUCAGCAUAUCAAAGUUAAGAAGAGUCGGAAAAAGGAGAAGGGGGCCUUGAAGGUUUCGAAGCCUGACGAGAAGUACGAGAAAAGUCGAGCGAAGGACAAAGAGAAAAAAUCAAAACAGAAAAACGACGAACUGAAAAACGGGGAGAUAUCGAGCGAAAUAGAUUCCAAAGACUUAGAUCUAGAAAGCGAUUUAGAUUCGAAGAAAACUCAUACGUCUAAGAAAAUUGCCGCUUUUAUAGGUGACAAGGAUAUAGAAUCCUUGGACGGUUUAAAGGAUAAGAUUAGCGAAAGGCGACGGGAGGAGAAGCUGAAGAAUGAAAAAGAGAAACAGAAGAAACCGGCGAAAAGCGAUCUUCACAAUGUGUAUUCAAAAAAAGUGCCUUCAAACGGUAGUACCUUUCACGACAGCGAUAAAGCCAGCGCAAGACGACCAAAGUUAAAAAAGGGAAUGAAAGAAGAUAAAGUUCCUACCACGGAGGAUGCGGUGAAAACCCAAGACCAAGAACCAACUGAAACAAAGAAAGUAAAAGUGGCUUCGACCAAGCAUACCAAAGGAUUUGGGAAGGAGGAAAGCUCGAUACAAGCAUUGAAUCAAGCGACGGAGCAAACACUCCAUGACAUCAACAAAUGGCUAGAUGACGCACCAAAGCUUUCCGAAUUUUCUUCCGGGAGCGAUUCUCCGAUAUUUCAUUCUUCCGUUGAGUCUGGUCGGUCGGGACCAAAGGUAGAAGCACCGAGAAAACGACCAAGUUCUAUUAAAAUCUUUGGCCCUCACGGACCCACCAGACCAAAAAAGAUACAACGUACGAUCGAUCGUUUGCAGCCUGGUAAAAGCAAGGGGAACUUGCUUUUGAAAAAACCGCUCAACUUACCGAGCGUUAACGCUAACGAGACAGCUGUUAACCAGUCGGCGAGCGACACCGAUCAGGCGAACAAGAACGCCGACGAGGAACCAAAACUUAGUUUAGGAACUGUGUUGAAGAACGUAGACUCCAUUCAGUUGAUUUGCAAGAGCUUAGUCUCCUCGCCGAAUCCGAAUUUUUCGAACGACGACGAGGAAGAGGACCACAACGCUCUCCCCGUGGCACCUGUGCCUAGCUCGAAAGAAGAGAAAUCGUCGACCGGAAAACCGACGACGCAGACGCCAACGGUGGCAGAGGAAUCUAAAGACAGCCAAUCCAGCGUAAAAGAGACUCAGAAGCCUAAAGCUGCGACGCCGAACUUGAGCGCCUGGUUCAAAGCGUUCGGGGCACCGAAAUCGAAGAAGAAGGACGAGGAAUCGGAGGACGGCGCGGCUAAGAAAGACGGCGAAUUGCCAGAGGUGUUCUGCGGCAGACAGAGAAGAAUGAGCACCGGCGGUAGCAGCGUGAGCGAAUCCGUUUCCAGUUUCUCUCAAGAAUCGCCACCUGGACGGGCGGGUCGAUCUCCACAGGGACAGCCCGUGAUGGCCUCGGUCGAGCCGCAAAUUAGAGGAGCCGGAUUCUAUCAGGACGCCCUGUCGACGGGAAGUAGUCCUUACAACAGUCCUUACUACGCCACACCUCCUAGAUACAGUGCCCAAUUGCCGCCCACUCCGUCUCCGCAAAAUCAUCCGCUGUCCCCGGCUUAUCCGUCGUCCUCUUACGAACAAGCGCCUCUCUUUUCCCAGAUACCGGCUCAGCAAUCCCAUACAACGUUUCAGAAGUCCCCGCAGGAGAGUUCCGGUGAAGUGUAUCACCAAUUAUCGCCCACGUUCCCGCAGCGUUCCCCUCAGGCCAGCUUUCCUCCGAAUUCGACUCCGCCAGAGACCUUCAAUCAACAAUUGCAACCCGCCGCUAUUCAGAAUCCGUCUCCGGUCUAUUCGCAACACUCUCCGCAACCGAUCCAGCAGGUGUUUCCUCAGCCUUCCCCGCAACCGCCACCCACGAAUUACUCGCAACCGUCGCCACAGCAACCUCCUACCCCGAAAUACUCGCAACUCUCUCCGCAACAAAACGCAACCAAUUACUCCCAGCCUUCUCCUCAAGCCUCUAGUUACUCUCAAGCGUCGCCUCAGCAACCACACUCCCCGUACUCUCAGCCGUCCCCUCAGCCACCGCCCACCUAUUCCCAGCCGUCUCCCCAACAGCAACACUCUCCUUACGCCCAGUCGCCGCAGCAAUCGUCCAGUUACUCUCAGCUAUCCCCGCAACCGCCAGCAACCUACUCUCAGCCAUCCCCUCAGGCCCCGGCCGUAUUUCCGCAACAAUCUCAACCAUCGAACUACUCCCAUCCAUCUCCGCAGACCCAUUCCGCCAACUACUCGCAGCCGUCGCCUCAACCUCUCACCGUGUACUCGCAGCCGUCGCCUCAACCACGGAAUUACUCUCAGCCGUCGCCCCAGCAACAGAUUCAGCCCUUUCCCCAGCAUUCCCCUCAGCCACCCGCCACGUUCUCUCAACCCUCGCCUCAGAACGCGUCCUAUUCCCAACCGUCGCCGCAGCCGCCAGUCAAUUACUCUCAACCAUCCCCUCAGCAGUCCGUCAAUUAUUCCCACUCGAUCCACUCGCCUCAAACCCCUCAGAAUUACUCUCAGCUCUCCCCUCAGCAAGCACCACCCACCAACUACUCCCAACCGUCUCCCACGCCUCAACAGUCCCGCAACUUCUCUCAACCGUCACCGUCGCCUCAACAGUCUCGCAGCUUGUCACAGCCGUCCCCGUCGCCUCAACAGUCUCGCAACUUCUCUCAAUCGUCGCCUCAACAGAAAUCCGUCUGCGCCUCGCAAGCAUCGCAACAGUCCUCGAGCUACUCGCAGCCAUCCCCGCAACAGAGUACAAACUACACGCCGCAACCGCAGCCGUCUAAAGGCACGGAGGAUCUGUCACAGAGCACGGCCGCAGCCUCGCCGGCUGCCGCGAACUACGCCCAAGGAUUCAAGCAGAAUUCCUACAUCCAAUCGCCAACCCCGUCCAUCAGCGAGGCAGAGCAUCGAACGGAGUAUCUCAAGUCCGCCGCCAGCACCGCCGAGAAGACCCCGACCGGGGACCAGCAACGAAACUUCGCCGUGGGAACGGAGGCGUCGUUGAACCUGAACGCCAACCAUCAGAUCUAUCAAUCCACUAAUCAGUAUUCGGCGUUCGGGAACAAUUACCCCAACAUCGACCUGCAGAGGUCCGUCUCGCGCCAGGAACAACCGCAACAGCAGCAACAGACCCAGGAGCAACGUUCCAGCUUCGCGGAGCUGACGGAGUCCCUGAACGCGCAGAAGUACGUUCAGCAGCGUUCGUUCCUCGGGAAGACGUCCGCCGCCGGCGAGCAGCUGUCGACGCAGGACCAGUCGCAGAUACUAGCAUUCCAGCAGAAUCUGACGGCCCACGAGCAGCUCUAUCCGAGCGGUUUUCAAGCGUCCGGGUACUCUAUGCCGAAUUCCAGACCCGUGUAUCCCAGCCCGCAUUACUUCGACGCCGGCUCGAAGACCGCCACUGGCGGAGCUGCUAACAGUUCGGCCAGUAACCUGCCUCCCGUUAAGAAACGCAUAUACAACGAGUCGCCCAACGAGGCGACUCGUACCAUAAACCAAGAGCCUACAGGUAGAACAGGUCAGGAGCAGUUCAGUUUCGAUCCGAUAAUGGGCUUGCCUCAACCCGACACUGUUUCAGCCAGUCAAUUCGACGCCGCGUUCGUUGGGAACUUGACCGAUCCCGUGGCCACGAAUAACGCUUACGCACGUUUGGGUCUGGGUCUGGUGGGUCGCGCGAGCAAAGAGCAACAGCAGCUGCUGACCAUCCCUCGACCGCCCGCGACCAAGUCCGAACAUUUAGCGUACUCGAGGAGUCCAGCGCCAGGUGCCGCCGAGCUGGACCUCAAUAUUCUACAGAGCUUGCAAACAGCGGCCAAGAACACGCAGGGUAUACUGUCCAUGUCUCGCAGAGGCGGGGACACCUUGGCCACCGGUUCCACGGCCGCGCCGACGAAGACGAGGAAGAGCAGGAAGAGCAAACAGCAGCAGCAACAGGAGCAGCAGAACGUCGCGAACGUUUCGUCCGCGGUCAGCACCGAUACCCAAUCGACCGGUAUACCUGGCUUCUCGCAGUAUACAGGGACAUCCGCGGACUCGAUCAGUCUGAAGAACACCGGCAUGGUCCCACCAGCUGGAAGUGCCUUCAAUUUCGCCGCGUCGACCAGUACCACCACCAGCUCAGCCUUCUACGACAAGGACGCGACAGCUGCGGCGUUCGCGUUCUUGGACGAGUUUCGAAAUCCAAACCGAUACUACAGCAUGGCCCUGAGGCAGCAACAACAGCAACAGCAGCCCCAACACCCGCCUGUGACGGACGCAGCUCAGCAAGCCUGCAACAAGCUCAGCAACCAACCGCCGAGAAACUAUCCGCCUCAUCCUUUUCUUCAUUCCGCUCAGAGAUCGGCGGCGUACGGUCCGCCAGUGUCCGCGUACGUCACGCCUCAUGGACCGAACCUAACGAUGGACCCAACCGCGUACCAACAGUACAUUCAUUCCCUCUACGCUCUUCAACCGCCGCCGCAUCAUCAUCGACCGUCCUGGCUUUAGCCGUUAAAAUCUUUGUAAAGGGCGUCUUAAGCGUUUUGUACGACGACAUUUCGGGCCGGAUACACACCGUCCUUCCGCUAGAUGGACGAAAUAGCGUUUUAAACCAGGGACAGAAAUUGACGGACGUUCGCCGACCCAGAUGGUAUGUUGACUUCAUUGCUCCAACCAGACCUGGACGAUUUUCAAGUAACGUUAUUUUCGAGAUACUGUUUCACCUAUUCUUAUUCACCUGUUAUUGUUGUGAGUUUGUAGGCGUCGAAGUUGAACCAACUCGAAGUUGAGUCCGUGGUAUGAAGGAAGGUGCGAGACGCCAGCGGUGGAUUGGGGACACAGGAACGAUGGGAGGAAGUUCGUGCAAAUAUGUGCUCUGUUUGAAUUUUGUUCCCAAGGAACAAAUUUGCCCAGGUCUGGUUCCAACUUCGUCGCGGCUCAUUCUCCUUGUUCGGAACACGUGGAUUGUGCAGAGCGUUCUGGAACAAAUGUGAGAGAUAUAACAGACGCGCUGGGUAAGUCCUCGAUAAAAGUCACAGAAUCGGGUUGUCUUGGAGACUUUUAACGAGUAUGGUAGGAACUUGUUUCUUUUUUUUUUUCUUUUUUCUUUUCUUUUAACUGAAUCCAAGACGAAAAGAGUGAAGGAUAGACCGAAAGUGAGCAAGAUAGAGUAAGCAAAUGCAAAAUAGAAACUGUAAUAUUUUAUAUCGUUUCUUCGUGAGAGCAUUUUUAAUUUUCAAUUAAUUGGUGAGACUGAUAAACAUUAAUAGGGGGAACAUUUUCCUUAAUUUUCAAGCUUAUUUCACGUCUGUUAUUUGUCUGACAUUUGUUCUGGAAUAGCCUUUGCAACUCAAGUCCGGGAUUAAUUUAGAUAAAACUGUGUUUACCAGUGCUUGUGAGUGCAUUUGAUACUUUGUACCUUUCUCCUGUUGUCAAUCAUAGUUGCAGUUUAAUAGAUAACACAGUAUAGAGAUGUUUCACUUGCGCGUAGUCUGUGUCGGUUACCGAUGAUCGGCAAUGACAGCAGAUACAUACAAAGUUUCGCUCGAACGCCGUUAGAUGGCGCUGUUCCCCGAUUGUAAACACUGUUUCAUCUAAUCGUGCUUCUCUGCGAUCAUAAUCAGAAUUUUCGUUCUCGUAAAAACAUCGGUACGGAUGUUUCUUCUUCCUGGAUCGUUGACCUUUCUACCUUUAAUAUUAGCAACUGAAACAUUUCUUUCGGUUUUUAGCGUAAUUAUUUAUUUUAUUCGUCGAUAUGUGAUCGUUUCACAAAUAUUUUUUUCUUAUUUCGCUUCCGUCCUGGAAUUUCUGAAUUAAUCGAAGAGAAACCUCGGUACCGAUAUAGCAAAAACAAAAACGCGAGAGGAAAAUUCUGAUUACGAUAUUCCUCGAGAUCAUCCAUUUGAAAAUAGCACCGUGAACUCGCGAGCGUCAAACAGUAAAAGAAACGCGUAAAACUUGAUUCUUGUUCUUUCGUUUUUCUCGAAAUGUUUUUUUACUGAUUGACCAGCGAACGACAGAUUUUUAAAGCUCUCUGGAAUUAGGGUACCCGGCCGUUACACCGCGAUUGUCUUUACCCCCUCCCCCUACUUCGCAUUUGUUUUCUUGUACAUUAUUUCUUUUUUUUUUUUUUAUCGAGACGAUACGAAAAAUCUUGGACAUUUUUACACGAUUUAUCAGAGGAAAAAGAAAGGAACUGAAAAUAAGAAAUAUUUAGCUUUUAUUCGGUAAUCUACUAUGUAGUGAUAUGUACAUAAAGGAUAAGCCUACUUCGCGUAGGAAUUUUUGAUAGUUUUUUCUAAUGACUAGUCGACGACUUAGACGUUUAAGUUCAGUCGCUAGUGACCGGAAGUCAUCUUCUAUCAAAAGUUCCUCUGUCUACCAACGCUCUUACACCGUCUCUAUCUAUCCCCCCCUCCCCCUCCCCCUCCCCCCUCUUUCAAUCUCUGUCGAUGUAUCGGGAUGUGGAAUUAUGCAAUAUUCGAUUUUUUAGCGAGGAGAACAUUAUAUUACAAAUCCGCUCCGUGACAGUGCUCGUAAUUUUUAGCCUGUCGUGAAUAUGUCCUUUACCCGCAUCAUUAUUUUUUUUUAUUUUUAUUUUUUUUUUUUUUUUAUGUUCGAGCAAAACGAUAAAAAGAAGGAACAGCUAGACGAAACGUAGAGGUUAUACGUGAUUUUUAAAUUCAAAGGAAUUCUGUAUAAUAUUGAGCGCACUGUUGCUGGUGUAUCUUAGAGUAUAUAGAUUUCUAUAGUUCGUAAGCUAGUUUUUCCGUUUCUUUGUAUAUAAAAUACAUAUCUCCUUCAUAGACGAUGUGCUCGAUGUAAAAAAAUGAUCUGCAAAGUCGAAGACCUUGUAGAAUCGUCCGCGGUAGAUUAAAAAAUGGGAUAACGUAGGGAACUAUAGAUGCGUGCGUGUGCGUGUGCGCGGAACAAGUUGAUACGCGAGCCCGUAUAUGUGUAUGUAUAUGCCUGUGUAUGACUGGUUGCGUGGAUGACCGGGUGUAUGGGUGUAUGACUCUUGUAUGAAAACGAAGAAAUAAAGUAUAAUACGCCGCAAUCAUACAUUAACCCACCUUAUUGCUAAAAGAAACAGAUGGAAGCGGUAUAUUAAAACUUAUAAAUAUAUACAUAUAUAUUGUAAAUGUAUAUUGUAAAUGUAUCGAUGACAGAUUAAAGCACAGUUUGUUACAAAAUCGUUUUCGCACUGCCGUUCGAAUGAAAUAUUUUAGUAAGUAAUGGUAAUUGACGAUUUCAAGAAACUUCGUUCUUGAAUGGUCUCGCGAAGACACGAUUAUUUAUCGAAGUAAUUAUAAAUACGGGGUGUCCCAAAAAUGUUAUAACACCUUGAAAGGGGCGGUUCAGGGGGUGAUUU
Molecule: RNA transcript, 10764 nt
Organism: Hylaeus volcanicus
Lineage: Eukaryota; Metazoa; Arthropoda; Insecta; Hymenoptera; Colletidae
Exons: 10
Source: RefSeq, a predicted model, not a curated record